GUCGAGAAUCUUUCACAAUGGGGGCAACCCUGAUGGAGCGACGCCGCGUGGAGGAUAAGGUCUUCGGAUUGUAAACUCCUGUCAUGCGUGAACAAGGUUGCUUGGUUAAUACCUGGGCAAAUUGAUGGUAACGCAAGAGGAAGAGACGGCUAACUCUGUGCCAGCAGCCGCGGUAAUACAGAGGUCUCAAGCGUUGUUCGGAAUCACUGGGCGUAAAGGGUGCGUAGGUGGCGUGGUAAGUCAGAUGUGAAAGCCCGGGGCUCAACCUCGGAACUGCAUCCGAUACUGCCAUGCUAGAGUACUGGAGAGGUGACUAGAAUUCUCGGUGUAGCAGUGAAAUGCGUAGAUAUCGAGAGGAAUACCAAAGGCGUAGGCAGGUCACUGGACAGUUACUGACACUGAGGCACGAAGGCCAGGGGAGCGAACGGGAUUAGAUACCCCUGUAGUCC
RNAcentral lists this ribosomal RNA (449 nucleotides) under uncultured bacterium. RNAcentral's name for it is "partial 16S ribosomal RNA". It matches the Rfam family "Bacterial small subunit ribosomal RNA", at positions 354 to 796 of the family's 1533-position model. The record is from RNAcentral.